GUGUCAGCAGCCGCGGUAAGACGUAGGGGGCGAGCGUUAUCCGGAUUCACUGGGCGUAAAGGGCGCGCAGGCGGCUAUGUAAGUCCGGCGUGAAAUCCCACGGCUCAACUGUGGAAUUGCGUCGGAUACUGCAUUGGCUUGAGGACGGUAGAGGCUUCUGGAACUAGCGGUGUAGCGGUGAAAUGCGCAGAUAUCGCUAGGAACGCCGGUGGCGAAGGCGGGAGGCUGGGCCGAUCCUGACGCUGAGGCGCGAAAGCUAGGGGAGCGAACCGGAUUAGAUACCCUCGUAGUCC
This 293-nucleotide ribosomal RNA is filed under the name uncultured bacterium. RNAcentral's name for it is "partial 16S ribosomal RNA". It matches the Rfam family "Bacterial small subunit ribosomal RNA", at positions 505 to 796 of the family's 1533-position model. The record is from RNAcentral.